GAACAGAAGCAGAGUUGCAUCACUCUCCAUGUCGAAGCUUUCAACUCACAGAAGAAAAGGAGUGGUGUUUUGAUAAGGAAUAAGCUUGAUAGCACAAUCCACGUGCACUGGAAAGGAGCUGCAGAGAAGAUACUAGCAAUGUGCUCAAGUUAUUAUGAUGCUUCCGGAAUAAUGAAAGAUUUGGAUGAUCAGCAAAAGAGUGUAUUCAAGCAAAUUAUUCA
RNAcentral lists this unclassified non-coding RNA (221 nucleotides) under Hevea brasiliensis (rubber tree). The record is from RNAcentral. Lineage: Eukaryota; Viridiplantae; Streptophyta; Magnoliopsida; Malpighiales; Euphorbiaceae.